RNAcentral lists this long non-coding RNA (218 nucleotides) under Phaseolus vulgaris (common bean). RNAcentral's name for it is "long non-coding RNA (PVUL_LNC002182)". Lineage: Eukaryota; Viridiplantae; Streptophyta; Magnoliopsida; Fabales; Fabaceae. The record is from RNAcentral.
AGAAUCUUGCAAGAUCAAAGGAGUAAUGCUAAGGACUCCAUCUGGUGGAGGGAUUUGAAGGGGGUUUGGGGGAUGGAGGAAUGGGAUAGAACCUUUGAGAAUUUUUGUGAGUGGAAAGUGGGAAACGGGAAGUAUAUCUUGUUUUGGAAAGAUGUUUGGGCGGGCAACGAAGAUUUGAAAAGUAAAUUCCCAAGACUGUAUUCCUUAUGUGGUAAUAA